AUGCCCUCUAUUUACAUAAGUAUCAUAUUAGCAUUUAUCAUAUCACUUCUGGGGGUAUUAGUCUAUCAGUCCCACCUAAUAUCAUCCCUCCUAUGCCUAGAAGGAAUAAUAUUAUCAUUAUUCAUAGUAAAUACCCUUAUAGCUUUAAAUAUACACUUCACCCUAGCAAAUGUAAUACCCAUUACUCUACCAGUAUUUGCUGCCUGCAAAGCCAGGGUAGGCCUUGCUUUGCUACUUUCAAUUUCCAACAUAUAUGGCUUAGACUACAUACAUAACCUAAAUUUACUUCAAUGCUAAA
Molecule: long non-coding RNA, 298 nt
Filed under: Homo sapiens (human)
Lineage: Eukaryota; Metazoa; Chordata; Mammalia; Primates; Hominidae
Description: non-protein coding lnc-ALS2CR12-1:1
Source: RNAcentral